UCCACUGUAAACAGAAGUGAAGAAAUGGGA
RNAcentral lists this non-coding RNA (30 nucleotides) under Rattus norvegicus (Norway rat). The record is from RNAcentral. Lineage: Eukaryota; Metazoa; Chordata; Mammalia; Rodentia; Muridae.